RNAcentral lists this ribosomal RNA (901 nucleotides) under uncultured bacterium. RNAcentral describes it as "bacterial SSU rRNA". It matches the Rfam family "Bacterial small subunit ribosomal RNA", at positions 56 to 1006 of the family's 1533-position model. The record is from RNAcentral.
UGCAAGUCGAACGCAGUAGCAAUACUGAGUGGCAAACGGGUGAGUAUAAUGUGGGAAUCUGCCUUUUGGUCUGGAAUAACACGAGGAAACUUGUGCUAAUACCGGAUAAGCCUUCACAGGGAAAGUUUUAAUGCCAAAAGAUGAGCCCGCACUUGAUUAGCUAGUUGGUAAGGUAAUGGCUUACCAAGGCAACGAUCAAUAGCUGUUCUUAGAGGAAGACCAGCCACAUUGGGACUGAGACACGGCCCAAACUCCUACGGGAGGCAGCAGUGGGGAAUCUUGCACAAUGGGGGAAACCCUGAUGCAGCGAUGCCGCGUGAGUGAAGAAGGCCUUUGGGUUGUAAAACUCUUUCGUCGGGGAAGAAAAUGACUGUACCCGAAUAAGAAGGUCCGGCUAACUUCGUGCCAGCAGCCGCGGUAAUACGAAGGGACCUAGCGUAGUUCGGAAUUACUGGGCUUAAAGAGUUCGUAGGUGGUUGAAAAAGUUGGUGGUGAAAUCCCAGAGCUUAACUCUGGAACUGCCAUCAAAACUUUUCAGCUAGAGUAUGAUAGAGGAAAGCAGAAUUUCUAGUGUAGAGGUGAAAUUCGUAGAUAUUAGAAAGAAUACCAAUUGCGAAGGCAGCUUUCUGGAUCAUUACUGACACUGAGGAACGAAAGCAUGGGUAGCGAAGAGGAUUAGAUACCCUCGUAGUCCAUGCCGUAAACGAUGUGUGUUAGACGUUGGAAAUUUAUUUUCAGUGUCGCAGGGAAACCGAUAAACACACCGCCUGGGGAGUACGACCGCAAGGUUAAAACUCAAAUGAAUUGACGGGGACCCGCACAAGUAGUGGAGCAUGUGGUUUAAUUCGAAGAUACGCGCAGAACCUUACCAACACUUGACAUGUUCGUCGCGACUCUAAGA